RNAcentral lists this ribosomal RNA (370 nucleotides) under uncultured bacterium. Its description in RNAcentral is "bacterial SSU rRNA". It matches the Rfam family "Bacterial small subunit ribosomal RNA", at positions 794 to 1492 of the family's 1533-position model. The record is from RNAcentral.
UCCACGCCCUAAACGAUGAACACUAGUCGUCGGAAUGCUAGCCAUUUCGGUGAUGCACUUAACAGAUUAAGUGUUCCGCCUGGGGAGUACGGUCGCAAGAUUAAAACUCAAAGGAAUAGACGGGGACCCGCACAAGAGGUGGAGCCAAUCUCAUAAAGCGUCUCUCAGUUCGGAUUGAAGUCUGCAACUCGACUUCAUGAAGCUGGAAUCACUAGUAAUCGUAGAUCAGCAAUGCUACGGUGAAUACGUUCCCGGGUCUUGUACUCACCGCCCGUCACACCAUGGGAGUUGAUUUCACCCGAAAUUGGGAAGCUAACCUUCGGGAGGCUACCACUUACGGUGGAAUUAGCGACUGGGGUGAAGUCGUAAC